AUGGGCUUCGGACAGAGAUGCCGUGAUUUGAUUGCAACCGUGCUCUGCUCAACCUCCUCCAGAGUAAUCCUCAAUGGUGAUCCAGGGCUGCCUUUCUACCAUCGGUGUGGCUUGCGACAAGGCGACCCAGUCUCGCCUUUUUUGUUCCUGCUUGCUAUAGAGCCACUACAGUGUAUCUUCGCGUCUGCAACCGAAGCCGGGAUCCUGAAGCCUAUUGCGCACAAUUUGGCCUCCAUCAGAGUCAGCCUUUAUGCGGACAAUGCUGCCCUAUUUCUGAACCCGUGCAAGUAUGAGAUGAUGGCCUCACAAGCAAUCCUGGAAGCCUUUGGGAGAAUCUCUGGACCUACACCAACUUCAACAAGUCCUCGGCUUUCCCUAUCUGUUGUGAUGAGCUGGCAACUAAUGAAGUGCUCUCCGAAUUCGCGGGAACAACUGACUCUUUCCCUUGCAAAUAUCUCGGCCUACCACUUAGCCUCCACAACCUUAGGCGCGCCGACCUCCAAAUUCUGA
Molecule: ribosomal RNA, 510 nt
Filed under: Triticum aestivum (bread wheat)
Lineage: Eukaryota; Viridiplantae; Streptophyta; Magnoliopsida; Poales; Poaceae
Description: partial small subunit ribosomal RNA
Source: RNAcentral